GACGAACGCUGGCGGCGUGCUUAACACAUGCAAGUCGUGCGGUAAGGCCCUUUCGGGGGUACACGAGCGGCGAACGGGUGAGUAACACGUGAGCAACCUUCCCUUCACUUUGGGAUAACUGCCGGAAACGGUGGCUAAUACCGGAUAUGACUUCCUCACGCAUGUGGGGGGGUGGAAAGCCUUCGGGGGGUGGGGGAUGGGCUCGCGGUCUAUCAGCUUGUUGGUGGGGGGAUGGCCUACCAAGGCUUCGACGGGUAGCCGGCCUGAGAGGGUGACCGGCCACACUGGGACUGCGACACGGCCCAGACUCCUACGGGAGGCAGCAGUGGGGAAUAUUGGACAAUGGGCGAAAGCCUGAUCCAGCAACGCCGCGUGAGGGAUGACGGCCUUCGGGUUGUAAACCUCUUUCGCCUGCGACGAAGCGAGAGUGACGGUAGCAGGUAAAGAAGCACCGGCCAACUACGUG
This 466-nucleotide ribosomal RNA is filed under the name uncultured bacterium. RNAcentral's name for it is "partial 16S ribosomal RNA". It matches the Rfam family "Bacterial small subunit ribosomal RNA", at positions 28 to 507 of the family's 1533-position model. The record is from RNAcentral.